GAUGAACGCUGGCGGCGUGCCUAAUACAUGCAAGUCGAGCGAACAGACGAGGAGCUUGCUCCUCUGACGUUAGCGGCGGACGGGUGAGUAACACGUGGAUAACCUCCCUAUAAGACUGGGAUCACUUCGGGACACCGGAGCUAAUCCCGGAUAAUAUAUUGAACCGCAUGGUUCAAUAGUGAAAGACGGUUUUGCUGUCACUUAUAGCUGGAUCCGCGCCGCAUUAGCUAGUUGGUAAGGUAACGGCUUACCAAGGCAACGAUGCGUAGCCGACCUGAGAGGGUGAUCGGCCACACUGGAACUGAGACACGGUCCAGACUCCUACGGGAGGCAGCAGUAGGGAAGCUUCCGCAAUGGGCGAAAGCCUGACGGAGCAACGCCGCGUGAGUGAUGAAGGUCUUCGGAUCGUAAAACUCUGUUAUGAGGGAAGAACAAAUGUGUAAGUAACUAUGCACGUCUUGACGGUACCGAAUCAGAAAGCCACGGCUAACUACGUG
RNAcentral lists this ribosomal RNA (497 nucleotides) under uncultured bacterium. Its description in RNAcentral is "partial 16S ribosomal RNA". It matches the Rfam family "Bacterial small subunit ribosomal RNA", at positions 28 to 507 of the family's 1533-position model. The record is from RNAcentral.